UGCGACGGUGCGCUGUUGUAGUUUUCCGGUAUGCAUUCGCGAGCGAAUUAUAGGCUAGUAAGCCGGCGGACUGCGGAGAUACUUUUUCGCUGCACGUGGAUGUAUUCGCAUUCGCGAUUCCAUUUUUUAUCCUGCCAUCGCAUCGUCGACCUCGUCGUUCGUCCCGUUGAGAGCAUCUACGUGAACUUUUUGCCGUUACUGCGAUAUGAUUUUUAGUCGAAGGGACUACGGGCAAUUAUGUUCGACGUUCAAACGAAAAAUAUUUGCAUUUGGUGGAUAGAUGGAUGCAAUUCGCUAGAAUUUUCUGGAAAUGGAUCUUCUUAACAAUGGAGCUGAUCUUCAUGAGGUUUUGGAACUGCAUAAGUAAAAAUUCAUCAUGUCUGCCAUGGAUACAAAUGGCACGCUGAUGUAUGAUGCUGGCACAGCGAUGGCUGUAAUGAGGAGAACUACAUGCAACCAAUACAAUCUUUAUGUGCUGAACACAAAACUCCACUCAUCAAACUGGACAUGGAUGGAAUAUAGAUGCAAAAGUUAGAAAAUUCUUCUGAUCUUUUUGCCUAGUCGUCAAGAAUUCACUGGAUGAAGAAGAAUAUUGGAACAAGUCUUUGGAUAUGCGGUGAAGUUUCAGAAUUGUGAAGAAAAUGAACCUCUGCAAAAGACAUCAUAUUGAAUUAUCUCAAGCAGCACAGUUCACUGUAAAUCAACUAUUUACUUGAGGAAAAUCAUUGGAUACGCAUAGAUAGUGAAGAAUGAAGGAGAAAAUUAAUGUUUGCAAAAGGUACAAUUUUAUCUCAAGGAGCCUUAUCCACAGUGAGUCAUCGGUAUAACUUGAAUAAUCCAUUCGAGAACCAGUAAUGAUUGAGGUAAAUAAAUAUUUUUUUGUUGAUAAAAAAUAAAUUAUUAAUUAUUGCAAGAA
Molecule: long non-coding RNA, 916 nt
Organism: Trichogramma pretiosum
Lineage: Eukaryota; Metazoa; Arthropoda; Insecta; Hymenoptera; Trichogrammatidae
Exons: 6
Source: RefSeq, a predicted model, not a curated record